RNAcentral lists this long non-coding RNA (424 nucleotides) under Homo sapiens (human). Its description in RNAcentral is "non-protein coding lnc-CENPP-20:27". The record is from RNAcentral. Lineage: Eukaryota; Metazoa; Chordata; Mammalia; Primates; Hominidae.
UUGAGCUUGGGCUGUCCGCCAUACCGGGGGACCUGGAUCCCCUGACGGCUUACCUAGCAGUGCCCAGGAUGGUGGCUGAGGGUAAAGCUGACAGAACUGGAGGUGGAGGAAGUAGCAGGCCAGAGAGGACUCGAAGAUCCUUAGAAGGAGCCAUAGACGGAACCAUAGGAGGCGCCCAGGAGCUAUGGGCUCCAGAAGUUUCCUCCUAAACUGUGGUCUCAGCGAGGCUCAUUGACACUCACCGGGGUUUCGACAUUCUCCCUGGCUAGGGCCUGUUCUGGAAAUAGACCAAGGGGGAGAUGGAGCCCCUGGCCGUGGGACAUCCAAUCUGAUGGUGAUGAGAAGGCAUGAUGCCUCUUGUUCUAUUCUUUUUUGUUUCUUCUUUUUUUUUAAAUAAAAAAGACCAGUAAUGUGCUGACUUCAU